UAAUGCUUUUGUGCCAUGAAU
Caenorhabditis elegans is the source of this 21-nucleotide non-coding RNA. NCBI's taxonomy places the organism in Eukaryota, Metazoa, Nematoda, Chromadorea, Rhabditida, Rhabditidae. The record is from Ensembl.